CACCCCCGACCUCUCAAUUCCAAACACACCUGUGACCCCACCGAGCGCCCUGCAAAGGGCUCGCCUCUAUAUACUCUGCAUGUCUCAUAUAAUGUCAAAUUGUUUGCCUUGAAUACUCAAUAAAAUACAACUUUCAACAACGGAUCUCUUGGGUGUCAGGGGGGAGAAGAACACAGCGAAAUGCGAUAAGUAAUGUGAAUUGCAGAUUUUCAGUGAAUCAUCGAAUCUUUGAACGCACCUUGCGCCCCUUGGUAUUCCGAGGGGGGGGGGCUGUUUGAGUGUCAUUCAAACCAGGGGGGCCGUCGAUCUUUGAUCGGUCGGAGGCUUGGACUUUGGAGCGUGCUGGCCCAAUUGAUGUUUUGCUCCUCUUUAAAUGCAUCAGCGGAAAUUUUUGUUGGGGGGGGCCCGACACCCCCCCAAUCCUGUUGCGUCGUCAGGGUCUGGUUGGGGCUCGCUUAUAAUCGUCUUCG
This 470-nucleotide unclassified non-coding RNA is filed under the name Amphinema sp. SB15. RNAcentral describes it as "sequence contains 18S rRNA gene, ITS1, 5.8S rRNA gene, ITS2 and 28S rRNA gene". The stretch from base 129 to 284 matches the Rfam family "5.8S ribosomal RNA". Lineage: Eukaryota; Fungi; Basidiomycota; Agaricomycetes; Atheliales; Atheliaceae. The record is from RNAcentral.